This 490-nucleotide ribosomal RNA is filed under the name uncultured bacterium. RNAcentral's name for it is "partial 16S ribosomal RNA". It matches the Rfam family "Bacterial small subunit ribosomal RNA", at positions 30 to 507 of the family's 1533-position model. The record is from RNAcentral.
AUUGAACGCUGGCGGCAGGCCUAACACAUGCAAGUCGAACGGUAACAGGAAGAAGCUUGCUUCUUUGCUGACGAGUGGCGGACGGGUGAGUAAUGUCUGGGAAACUGCCUGAUGGAGGGGGAUAACUACUGGAAACGGUAGCUAAUACCGCAUAACGUCGCAAGACCAAAGAGGGGGACCUUCGGGCCUCUUGCCAUCGGAUGUGCCCAGAUGGGAUUGGCUAGUAGGUGGGGUAACGGCUCACCUAGGCGACGAUCCCUAGCUGGUCUGAGAGGAUGACCAGCCACACUGGAACUGAGACACGGUCCAGACUCCUACGGGAGGCAGCAGUGGGGAAUAUUGCACAAUGGGCGCAAGCCUGAUGCAGCCAUGCCGCGUGUAUGAAGAAGGCCUUCGGGUUGUAAAGUACUUUCAGCGGGGAGGAAGGGAGUAAAGUUAAUACCUUGACUCAUUGACGUUACCCGCAGAAGAAGCACCGGCUAACUCCGUG